GAUCCCAUAGUGUAGUGGUUAGCACGUUGGCUUUUGACGCCAAAGACCCGAGUUCAAAUCUCGUUGGGAUCU
Non-coding RNA from Thoreauomyces humboldtii, 72 nucleotides. The record is from the annotation of a GenBank genome assembly. NCBI's taxonomy places the organism in Eukaryota, Fungi, Chytridiomycota, Chytridiomycetes, Spizellomycetales, Powellomycetaceae.